Molecule: ribosomal RNA, 485 nt
Filed under: uncultured bacterium
Lineage: Bacteria
Description: bacterial SSU rRNA
Rfam family: Bacterial small subunit ribosomal RNA
Source: RNAcentral
GAUAAACGCUGGCGGCGCACAUAAGACAUGCAAGUCGAACGGACUUAACCAUUAGUUUACUAUUGGAGCGGUUAGUGGCGGACUGGUGAGUAACACGUAAGCAACCUGCCUAUCAGAGGGGAACAACAGUUAGAAAUGACUGCUAAUACCGCAUAUGCCAUAAUCACCACAUGGUGAUAGUGGGAAAGGAGCAAUCCGCUGAUAGAUGGGCUUGCGUCUGAUUAGAUAGUUGGUGGGGUGACGGCCUACCAAGUCGACGAUCAGUAGCCGGACUGAGAGGUUGAACGGCCACAUUGGGACUGAGAUACGGCCCAGACUCCUACGGGAGGCAGCAGUCGGGAAUAUUGCGCAAUGGAGGAAACUCUGACGCAGUGACGCCGCGUGCAGGAAGAAGGUUUUCGGAUUGUAAACUGCUUUAGACAGGGAAGAUAAAAGACAGUACCUGUAGAAUAAGCUCCGGCUAACUACGUGCCAGCAGCCGACGG